Molecule: long non-coding RNA, 706 nt
Organism: Brassica rapa (field mustard)
Lineage: Eukaryota; Viridiplantae; Streptophyta; Magnoliopsida; Brassicales; Brassicaceae
Source: RefSeq, a predicted model, not a curated record
AAGAAAGACCGCUACUGUCAAAAUACAAACCUCCUUCCACUAAAACUCUCUCUCUGCAGUAAUCUUUCGAUCCCGUUUCUGGGCAAUGGAGAAACCACCGGAAAAAGUGAAGAAAUGGCCCAGAGACCAAACCGGUUUCGAAACCGAUCAAAGCCGGUCGGGAGAAUCACUCGUUUCCUGAAGAGAGGCUCAAAGACUCGCUCCCGGUUUACAUGGCCGCCGUCCUCCACGCUGCUGAAGAAAGAUUGCUGCCAGAGACAAACAAGAAGUCGACGAUCAUUCCCAGGCAUCUUCUUUUGGCGAUUAGGAAGUAGGAACUAUGAAGAGUUUGGGGAAAGUUUUACCAAAUUUCUCCUUUUUUUUCUUUUUUUAAGAGUAAUUUUGUAUUAUAUUUUAUAUAUAUUGAGAGAGGAGAGAGGAGAGAGGAGAGAGGAGAGAGGAGAGAGGAGAGAGGAGAGAGAGAGAGAGAGUGGGAGAGAGAGUGGGAGAGAGAGGGGGAGUGAGAGAGAGAGAGGGUGGGCGGGGAAGAGCGCGGGGCGCGGGGGCAUGGAGCGGAAAAGCGCGGGGGGCGGGGGCAGAUAGCGCGGCGAGACGGGAAAGCGGCCCUCCCACACGAAUAUAUCUGAUUAUAUAAGUGACUAAAAUUAAUAAUAAAUAUACAUAAUUAAAAACGAAUUUCUAUUAAUACUAUUAUAUUUAUAUAUUA